RNAcentral lists this unclassified non-coding RNA (301 nucleotides) under plant metagenome. RNAcentral's name for it is "partial contains 5.8S ribosomal RNA, internal transcribed spacer 2, and large subunit ribosomal RNA". The stretch from base 1 to 105 matches the Rfam family "5.8S ribosomal RNA", at positions 50 to 154 of the family's 154-position model. The record is from RNAcentral.
GAAAUGCGAUAAGUAGUGUGAAUUGCAGAAUUCAGUGAAUCAUCGAAUCUUUGAACGCACAUUGCGCCCUAUGGUAUUCCGUAGGGCAUGCCUGUUCGAGCGUCAUUUACACCUUCAAGCCUUGCUUGGUGUUGGGUGACUGUGGCCCCUUUGGGGCCACUCGCCUUAAAGUCAUUGGCGGCCGGUUCGUUGGCUUUGUAGCGCAGCACAAUUGCGUCCUCGAAGCCGCUGGACCAGCUCCCAGAAGCUAAUUUUAAAUGUUUGACCUCGAAUCAGGUAGGGAUACCCGCUGACCUUAAGC